ACUUUUACACUCCCUUUGUGUCCAUCAGACGACAGGCCUCCAGCAGAGGUCGUCUCCUCCAGCCUUAGACUCCACCCGGGCCUGGUCACCAUCUCUGAGGGAAGAGUCCAACUGGCUCUUCAUCAAGGAGGACAGCUGAGUCCUGGGGAGCCUCACGGAGCUUCUUCUCCAGAGGAGGAGCUCUUUAACCAGGCGGUCACCAUCCUGUCCUGCGUCUCCUACAGGAACCAGAUGCUGCACGUGUUCGUCGGUCCUGCGCUGGUGGCGUCAGCCAUGAACAUUUCCUCCUCCACGCAAAAAA
Molecule: long non-coding RNA, 301 nt
Organism: Cynoglossus semilaevis (tongue sole)
Lineage: Eukaryota; Metazoa; Chordata; Actinopteri; Pleuronectiformes; Cynoglossidae
Exons: 2
Source: RefSeq, a predicted model, not a curated record